UCCAGACUCCUACGGGAGGCAGCAGUAGGGAAUAUUGCUCAAUGGGGGGAACCCUGAUGCAGCGACGCCGCGUGGGCGAUGGAGUACUUCGGUAUGUAAAGCCCUAUCAGCAGGGAAGAAAAUGACGGUACCUGACUAAGAAGCCCCGGCUAAAUACGUGCCAGCAGCCGCGGUAAUACGUAUGGGGCAAGCGUUAUCCGGAUUUACUGGGUGUAAAGGGAGCGUAGGCGGCCUGGCAAGCCUGAUGUGAAAUCCCGGGGCCCAACCCCGGGGCUGCAUUGGGAACUGCCAGGCUGGAGUGCCGGAGAGGCAGGCGGAAUUCCUAGUGUAGCGGUGAAAUGCGUAGAUAUUAGGAGGAACACCAGUGGCGAAGGCGGCCUGCUGGACGGUGACUGACGCUGAGGCUCGAAAGCGUGGGGAGCAAACAGGAUUAGAUACCCGGGUA
This 445-nucleotide ribosomal RNA is filed under the name uncultured bacterium. RNAcentral describes it as "bacterial SSU rRNA". It matches the Rfam family "Bacterial small subunit ribosomal RNA", at positions 330 to 792 of the family's 1533-position model. The record is from RNAcentral.